Molecule: RNA transcript, 1613 nt
Organism: Triticum dicoccoides
Lineage: Eukaryota; Viridiplantae; Streptophyta; Magnoliopsida; Poales; Poaceae
Exons: 10
Source: RefSeq, a predicted model, not a curated record
CUUGUGUGUGUAGGCAGCACAAAUGUACACCGCUGUGGCCAGGUUAUUUCAUACGACACAGCCACAGGUGAUGUACAUGAAUGACGGCAGAUGGUUGAGGAUUGAGGGAAUGUAGAUGCGACUAGCGAGCACUUACUCUGAGGUGCUUUCAGAUGAUGGUUUAAUAAGAUUGUUUGGACAAAAUUCUGAUUUUUCAACACUUGUUCCAUGUGCGAAUAUUCUGGGAGCACCAACUCCAACUGCUGACAAGGUGAAGCUUAUGAUCAGUACAGCUUUGUUUGACAUUUGGCUGGGCUAAAAAAAAUAUCAAUGGGAGCUUUGGACGGCCCGAUUGCAUUAGUGCCUGUGGUUGCGAACGUCCGCCGUCUGCCGCAGCUUCGUCAAUCGUCCUUCUCAGGUGUCAGCGAUCUUAGCCGUGAGGAGCGAGCGACACACCGUUCCCGUCGACGCCGUCGUCCGUCGGCAUCCGGUAUUGCUGUACGCUAUACCUGUACUGAUUGUGAUUGGCGUCCCAUCCGACACCAGAACGAGAACCCCUUCAAUUUAAUGUGUUAGUCAUAGAUAUGGAUAUUGUUGACCAUAAAAAAGAACCUAUCAACAAGAGCCCGAAGGUCAUGUCGUUGGAAGAGACUAAAACCUCAGCAAGUUCUAUACAGCCUACAGAUGCGCAGAUAGAAAUAGCCAAUUUACGUCAUACCAAACCAAGAAGAGCAAAUACAAAUAUUACACCACAAGUAUUAAAUCAACCAUGUCCUUACCUGAAAAAACUAUGUUGGUGCACAUCAAUGAUGCAUUAUUAUCAAAUGCAGAGAUGAGGUGCCUUAGGCAUGAUGAUGUGUUUUUGCAUGAUGAUGUAAUAAAUGCAUAUAUAUACUGUAUAAGUGCCCAGGAGCAUCUGCAAGAUAGAGUGGGUGGAAUGGUACAUAUUGCAAGCACGUUUGUGUCUUCCCUGCUAAAGAACGAUGAGGUAGACCGGGCAACACAUCGCCACAUUGUAAAACGAGUGAAUGCUUUUUUGGAGCAUGACAUGGUAUUCCUUCCAGUUAACAUCAGAAAAUGCCACUGGUAUCUAUCAGUAAUCAAUGCGAAGAAACGAGAGAUACAGGUACUGGACUCGCUUGGAGUUGGAAUGAGCCGAAGUGACCUCACUAAGAUGUUACAAGGACUUGACCAGCAUCUAAAAAUCGCAUGCAAUAUGCCAGAGUUUAAGAGAGGUGAUAGGUGGCAGGACCUCGAUAUUACGAAUUGGAAAGUCGUAGAACAGCUCCAAGAGCCAAUCCAAACAGACGGGAGGACAUGAAAGAAUUUCGACGAAAGAUAAUUUGAUUAAGCGCAACUGGACAUGAUCUACUAGGUGUAGUUUCUGUGAUCGGGAUGAAACUAUCAAGCAUCUUUUCUUUGAUUGCCCGAUGGCGAGGGUGUUGUGGCGCUCGGUGCAAAUUGCCUUUAACAUUACUCCUUCAAAUUUGGUCAGGUCGUUUUUUGGAACGUGGCUGGUUGGUAUAGAGGCCGAAACAGCUAGACAAAUUUGAGUGGGAGCAUGUGCGUUGUUAUGGGCAAUUUGGAACUGCAGAAAUGACUUGGCUUUUAACAGAACAACAACUAUUCAUUUU